Molecule: long non-coding RNA, 927 nt
Organism: Trichomycterus rosablanca
Lineage: Eukaryota; Metazoa; Chordata; Actinopteri; Siluriformes; Trichomycteridae
Exons: 2
Source: RefSeq, a predicted model, not a curated record
ACACCAGCAGCAGGAUGUCAUCUGCAGCCAACUAAUACUACAGUGCAAGAGAGGGUGGCCACGACAAGAGGAGCUGCCCCAGCUACUAAAACCCUAUUGGGUCCACCAAAAUUACGAUUUCGGACAUGUGACCAGCAGCCCAUACUUUGCACAGAGCAAUGGGGAGGCAGAGAGGGCUGUGAAAACAGUCAAAGGCAUCUUGAAAAAGAACGCAGACCCAUACAGGGCCUUGCUGGCGUACCGGGUUACACCGCUGCAUCAAGGACCUUCACCUGCAGAACUCCUAAUGGGCAGGAGGCUGCGCUCACCUUUGCCCGUUUCACCUGGUCAACUCAAACCACGGUGGCCAAACAGGAAAGCUUUUGCAGAGAAGGACAAACGUUUGAAACAUGCUCAGACAGUUACCUAUAACUACAGACAUAGAGCUUCUGCCAGACCAGAACUAAAAGCAGGUCAGAGAGUCUGGAUUACAAACACGCAGGAGCCUGCUACAGUACUGAGAGAAGCUGACACUCCUCGGUCCUAUGUAGUGGAGACAGAUUCAGAGGAAGUGAGGAGAAACAAAGCACACCUCAGACUUUUACCAGAUUUACAAACCCCUCCACAGGUUGUGGAGGACACGGAACAGCAGACAGCGGAACCAGAAGAGAGGACGGGGGAGAGGAGUCAAAGAGCUCACCUAAAGAGGGAAGUUAAAGCCCCAGGGUGGCUUAAAGACUAUAUAACCUAGAAGAAUAGGGAACGGUUAUAAAUGUUAUCUUGUUCAGUUGAUAACUGUAUUUCAUGCCACUUUGUUAUAGUUCUACUUUGGGGAAGGGGAGAUGUAGUAUGGUCCCUUUGGCGUUCCAUACAGGGGAUUGGGGGUGUCCCGGUGUGUACAUGAGGAAAGAGUUCAGUCUGAGUAAAGAUGCCUGUCGGCUAAAUAGC